This 426-nucleotide ribosomal RNA is filed under the name uncultured bacterium. Its description in RNAcentral is "partial 16S ribosomal RNA". It matches the Rfam family "Bacterial small subunit ribosomal RNA", at positions 354 to 796 of the family's 1533-position model. The record is from RNAcentral.
GUGAGGAAUUUUCCGCAAUGGGCGAAAGCCUGACGGAGCAAUGCCGCGUGAAGGAUGAAGGCCUAUGGGUUGUAAACUUCUUUUCUCAGAAAAGAAUUAUGACGGUAUCUGAGGAAUAAGCAUCGGCUAACUCUGUGCCAGCAGCCGCGGUAAGACAGAGGAUGCAAGCGUUAUCCGGAAUGAUUGGGCGUAAAGCGUCUGUAGGUUGUUUAAAAAGUAUUCUGUCAAAGAUUAGGGCUUAACCCUAGAUAGGCAGAAUAAACUUUUAAGCUAGAGUUUGGUAGAGGCAGAGGAAAUUCCCGGUGGAGCGGUGAAAUGCGUAGAUAUCGGGAGGAACACCAAAGGCGAAGGCACUCUGCUGGGCCAAUACUAACACUGAGAGACGAAAGCGAGGGGAGCAAAUGGGAUUAGAAACCCCUGUAGUCC